RNAcentral lists this unclassified non-coding RNA (306 nucleotides) under Stutzerimonas kunmingensis. RNAcentral's name for it is "Pseudomonas kunmingensis Long range pseudoknot". Lineage: Bacteria; Pseudomonadati; Pseudomonadota; Gammaproteobacteria; Pseudomonadales; Pseudomonadaceae. The record is from RNAcentral.
ACGGAAGAAGGGGACUACCAGGUCAAGCUACGCAACCUGGUGCGUUUCCUGAGUGACGGGGACAGGGCCAAGGUAUCUUUGCGAUUCCGUGGCCGUGAGAUGGCCCAUCAGGAGCUGGGGAUGGAGCUGUUGAAGCGGGUCGAAAACGAUCUCGCUGAAUAUGGCUCGGUCGAACAGCAUCCGAAGAUGGAAGGACGCCAGCUGAUCAUGGUCAUCGCUCCCAAGAAGAAAAAGUAACCCCCAGGGCACUGGCAGGCCUUGCGGUUAUUUGUAAUCACCCACAAUGUGGAGUACCGAACAUGCCAA